CAAAGCCCUAUAACACCGCAUUUUUCUCCCAUUUUCUUAUCCCCAUCAGCAACACAGUACUUUUCCUUCACUAUCGAUUUUUUUUACUCUCCACUCUCGAUUCACAUCCCAGUUUUAUCCCUUCACUUCCUGUGUUGCCACUACUCCACCACAGCUACCAUUUGCAUAUUAUCUCAACUAGGAGUGGAGGCACCAAGAGGCCAGGGCGGUCAGUGGCCCACUGGAAAACCUAACCCUUUAGAGCCACGCAUCCAAACCAGCGAAUCACAGAUUUUUCUCCUCUCCACGACUCUGCCCAGCGCCUCAGCUCUCACUCUUGUCUCUCGCCACCUUCCACCACCGACCACCAGCGCUUCUCAGUUCUCACUCUUGUCACUCGCCUCCCAAGACCCACACAGCUGCAGAGACUGGUGGCGUGAUUUAGAUGCUUAGGAUAUUUUUUAAAAACUUGCUAUAAUAUAGAUAGUCAUUUUAUCCUCAAGAACAAUAAAAUUUUUGAUUGAUUUCCUUUAUUUCCUUUCCACAGUUAUUAGUUUUGAUUGAAAUAGUUAAUUUAUUUUAUUUUUUUAAUUUGUGAGCUUUUCUCUUGUAAUUAGAGGUUUUACCUAUAGGUGUAGGGUUUUUCAUUGAAAAUAGAAUUUGCUAUUGAAUUGACUGGUGAAUACCAUCAAACUUCAACUGAUUUGGGUGUCUAAAUGUGAAUAAAUUGCUUUGCUUUGAUUCAGGAUAUUCUGAGAAGUAGAGAAACUGGUGAGUUCCUUGGUGUUGCUUUAGCAGGGACCACGACCAAAGCCAUUCUCCCUCCUCUUGAGACCAUCAGGUUUUCUGUUUCCACUUCCUUGAUUCUGGUUCUAGUUUUUUUUUUUGCUUUACCUAAUAAAUGAAGCAGAUUGCAUAAUAGUUCAAUUGCGAUACAUUAUUUGAUCAAACUUUAAAAGGAAAAUUCAUGUACUUUUAAAACAAAGGGAGUGUGCAACACUGACGGUCUCUUUACUAUUUUAUACGUGUAUUUCAUUUCUUAGUUGUGUAACUUGUCUCAGAUUUAUGUCGGUUAAUGUCCACAUCAUGAAUGAUUGUACUGCUGAGCCAUUCCUUUUAAAUAUCUGGUUUUUUCCAUUACCUUGUACAGGAUAGAUUGACUGCCUGAUUUUAUCACAGUCAAAGUAUUGCAGUACGCAACAUUUACAAGGAUGGUGGUAUUGGUCUUUCUACUUUGGUAUUUCACCCACAUUGAUCAGCAUGCUCCCAUAUAGCAAUAACACUUGCUACUACUUCAUGUAUUAGUUGCCAAUAAUAAUCUUAAGGAAUCAUUUGUUUUGCUUUCCUUUUGCUCUCAUUUUUUCUUGCUGUUCCUCUUUUCUUCAUCAAUUCUAGCAUUUCUGUUCCUCGUCUCAAUUGUGAUCCUAUUUUAUUUUCUUAAAUUUCCAGGAUGGCAUGUGGAAUGAAUAAGUUGCUGAAGUUAGUAUUAUACCAUCAUUCUUCAAGCCUAAAAUAUGAAAGUUGAGUUUUAAUAUAACUCACUUAAACAAGAGUGAGACGACAUCUUUGUUUGAAGAGAGACAAGUCUCUAUCGUAUAUAUAAGUUUACUUCUUUGGUUUGGAGAAAGCUCAUCUUCAAGUAAUACUUACCAGAAUCCUAUCAUAAUAGUUUGACUAAUUGAAGUAAUACCAACCAAUUUUGUAGUUAGGGACAUGGCAUAUGAAGUGCAUUGCACAUACUAAGAAAUAUUAAACCUAUUAGAUGGAACUUGGAAGGUUAUAUAUAUAUAGCCACAAUUUUAUGGUUACGGACAUAAAUAAGGGAGACCUUUAGAAUUUGGCACUUACAAUAGAAUAAUAAGCAAAAUAGGUAAAUCUUUGGAAGCAUACAACAAUAAAAAAGUGAUUAAGAAAGUUUUAGGUCAAAAUCAAAUGCUCAAAGUAUAGACACCUUAUCAAGAAGAAAAUAGAAAAUGGACAUUUAUAUCUCUCUUAUUACUAGUAAAGAGCAACUAGUAGAUAUUUGACAAAAGAAGUGCAGAGACCUUUAUUCCUCUCAAAGAAGAAAUGAUAAUACUCCAUUUUUUUUUUUUUGGCAUACAUAACUACCUUGUCUUACUAAUUCUUUGAAGAUUGUACUCUACAAAUGCAGGACUUGCAAUUUUUUGGAGAUUGUCGCUAAUUCUUUGGCUUACCAUUGGAUUACUGCAUAAAAAAGGGCUUGCAAUUGUUGAGAGCAAUGAGGGUUGGGGUGAGCAGCACAUGACACUAAAGCUUGGUACUAGGACAUCCUGAAAUACAUGAAUUAGAUGAAGAGAAGUUGGUUAUGUUUUUCAAUAGCAUGCUUGCAUUUUUUACAUUAUGUAUUCAAGUGCAUAGGAGAAUAUUGUCAUCCUUCACAUUAUGUAUUCAAAAAUUUGUAAUGAAAUUAUCAAUUUUUAUGCAAUUCCAGAAUUUGUCAUUUUCAAUUUUA
This 2452-nucleotide long non-coding RNA is filed under the name Olea europaea subsp. europaea. The record is from RNAcentral. Lineage: Eukaryota; Viridiplantae; Streptophyta; Magnoliopsida; Lamiales; Oleaceae.